This 2744-nucleotide small RNA is filed under the name Pan troglodytes (chimpanzee). RNAcentral describes it as "retained intron". Lineage: Eukaryota; Metazoa; Chordata; Mammalia; Primates; Hominidae. The record is from RNAcentral.
GGAAGAAGAAGCCGGUCCGGAGUUCUGGCCGACAGCAGGCGAGGAGUGGGUAGCAGCGCCUAUGUGAAGUUAGCUAAUCUGAGAAGGCCCACUUCUGGUUCCAUGGAUGAUGGCGGUUGAGCAGAUGCCAAAAAAGGAUUGGUACAGCAUCCUGGGAGCAGACCCAUCUGCAAAUAUAUCAGACCUAAAACAAAAAUAUCAAAAACUCAUAUUAAUGUAUCAUCCAGAUAAACAAAGUACAGAUGUACCAGCAGGAACAGUGGAGGAAUGUGUACAGAAGUUCAUCGAAAUUGAUCAAGCAUGGAAAAUUCUAGGAAAUGAAGAGACAAAAAGAGAGUAUGACCUGCAGCGGUGUGGUAGGUGCUUGUGUUGAGGAGCCACAGCACAUCGGCAACUCUUAGAAGCACACUCUGCAGCCAUUCCUGGGGAGCAUUUUCCAGCAUUUGCACCAAGUGUUAUUGUUGCCUUUAUUCCUCCCCUCCAUCACUGUUUUUAAUUAUGCCCUAUUCUUAGCAGUGACUAUUGUGUAUCCAUUGAGAAGUUAACAAAACUACUAGGAUGUGGCUUCUUGUGAAGCCUUGAAAGCUACUUUUUAUAACAUUUGAAAAAUGUUUAAUUACACAUUACUAACUAAUAUGCUUUAUAUGUUUAAAAACUUUUUAUUAAAAUAAAUAUGGAUUAACAUUUUAAUUGUACUUUUAAGACUAUACAGUAUAAAUGACAAUCCAAAUGAAGAUACUAUAUAUCAGAUGACAUCAUAAAGCACUCUGCUGUCUUUGAGCUCAUUUUAGGCUGGUUUCAUGAUUAUCUUCAUGAUAAACUAUUCCUUGUGAUUGGUAUAAAUGAUAUUUUAGGAAUGCACAUUACCUAAGCAAUUUUAAAAGUCAUUUCUUUUAUGCUUUUUAGAAAAUAGCUUUUUAAAACAGUGACAAGCUGUUAUGAGAAAGAAAGAGGGAAAUGUAGGUCAGGUUUGUCACACAUGGACUGCAGUUACACGAAGUGAUAGGCUGUCUUUCAGCACUGGCCUAGGGACAGGAGUCCCUCAGCCUUGUGUUUGAACCUUCAAUAUGCACCCCACAUGCUAAUGGGAGGAGUCAAUAAUCAGUUACAGCCUGUGGGGAAAACACUCAGUCGCUCUCUCCAAUAGCAUAUCAGGCUCAGCAUUGACUGGGAUGUGUUGAUAAAAGCUGUCUCGUAGUCGUUUAUUGAAUCCCCUCCCAUGCCCUACAAUGGCACACCAUCAGACCUCACAAAAUGAUUUUGAGGCUUUGUUAGUACUAAGGUUAUGAAAAUUUGAUUUGAGAAGCAAGCCUUUAUUUUUAAAACACAGCAUUAUAAGAUGAAGCCAGUGACAUUUGCAAGACAUCCCUAUUUAUUUUCAGAGGGAUUUCUACCAAGAAAAUUAAGGUUUCUUAUAGGCUGUGUGAUACUUCUGUGUGGAAAGACUUGAACUGUUUAUGUACUGGAGUAUUUGUUUAUAAGAGUGACUUAUUUAUAGUACUAAUCAGCUCAAAGGCUUUACUACUUUUUAAAAGACUGAUGAGCUUAUUUUUUUCUUAAAUAUUAAGAACCUGAUGGGUGUACCUUUGCUUUUCAAAGCAAAGGUUAAUUUUCAAAAAUGGCUUGAAUAUUGGGUUCUGCUUUUGCUGGGUGCAUAAUGAGCAUCUGUCUAAUGUAUUUAUUUUUUAAACAUGUUUGUACUUUUUGCAAAAGAAUGUAGAAGUGGCUUCGUUUCAUGAUAAGUUCUACCCGUUGGUGUAUCUUUUUAACCUUGGUUCACAUAAUUUCUAUGAAAGAAUUGAAACUAAUGCACAUGAAUGUGUUUUGUGUUAGAAGAAAUCUACAUUCCUAAAGCCACUACGCUCUACUGAAGAUGAUGAUUCUUUCAGGUGUUUUUGCACAUCUUUACUAGUCUCUACUAUAUAGGAUGCCAGUUUGCUUGAGAUAAGAAUAAUUCACACAACAUUGUACCCUAAAGAGUAUAGGGUAUAUACUUUCAAUGUUGCUCUACAUUUUUGCCACUCCACAGCCUGUGUACUAUUAAGAACAUAUUAGUGAAGUUGACUAGAAGCCUGCUCUCUAAAGAGGUAGGGAGGGAUCAGGAAUCAUAAAAAUAUUUUCUCAAGAAGCUACAGGGUGGGGUAGGCCAGAAACCAAAAGAAAUAGGAAACCAGGUUAAAAGUUAGCAUAGAAUUGCAUGAAGAAAGAUUUGAGAGAUGUCAGAAGACAAAUAAUCAACAUAUUCAUGCCUUUUUCUUUGUCUUCGAAAGGUCCUUGGAACUGCGGAUUUCUUUUGAGCUUUGAGUCCUACUUUUAAGCUCUUAAUGGAAGCACCUGUGGCCUACUGUGUCACAGGGUACUCCUGUAGGUCAUAGAUGAAGUCACAAUGAAGUUUAGACAAAGUAAAUACUGUGAGAGUUGGACCUGAUUCAUGAUUCAGAUAAAUAGUUUGGAAUUUAUACAAUAUCAGUUUGCUCUGCAAGUUUUUCAGGCAGCAUAUUACUGAAUUUAGCUGUUCUAGAAGGACAGCUUUUCAUGACACUUUAGUACCUCAGAUUUAAGUACUAAGUAUUGCCUCUUUUACCAGAGUCUCCAAAUACUGACACUACUUUGUUUCAAUUUUAAAUGGAGAUUGACAUACUGUUUAGGUAAGAAGAGUAUCCAAAUAUAACUUGCUAUUUUUAAGCCUUUCAUACCAGAGCUAUUUUUAAAAACUCUUACAAUAAACCUACUUUCAUAUUGUU